This 117-nucleotide small RNA is filed under the name uncultured Rhizobium sp. RNAcentral's name for it is "Alphaproteobacterial ar15". It matches the Rfam family "Alphaproteobacterial ar15". Lineage: Bacteria; Pseudomonadati; Pseudomonadota; Alphaproteobacteria; Hyphomicrobiales; Rhizobiaceae. The record is from RNAcentral.
AGCUAAUGCACAUGGCGGUUUUCCUCCCAGUGCCGCUGCACUAGCUGUUCCCCUCUGGAGGUUGAAUAGACCUUCACACUUAAAAGGGCCUCGGACACGUUCCGGAGGCCCUCUUUU